This 698-nucleotide long non-coding RNA is filed under the name Danio rerio (zebrafish). Its description in RNAcentral is "lncRNA si:ch211-195e19.3 (ENSDARG00000102239.2)". Lineage: Eukaryota; Metazoa; Chordata; Actinopteri; Cypriniformes; Danionidae. The record is from RNAcentral.
UCUGCAAGUCGAGGCAGUAUGUUAAUAACUGUGAUGGUUGGGUUUGGGUUUGGGGAAGGUGUAGACAUUAAUAACUGUGAUGGGAAGGUGUAGACAUUAAUAAUUGUGAUGGUUGGGUUUAGGUUUGGGGAAGGUGUAGACAUUAAUAACUGUGAUAGUUGGGUUUAGGUUUGGGGAAGGUGUAGACAUUAAUAACUGUGAUGGUUGGGUUUAGGUUUAGGGAAGGUGUAGACAUUAAUAAAUGUGAUGGUUGGGUUUAGGUUUGGGGAAGGUGUAGACAUUAAUAACUGUGAUAGUUGGGGAAGGUGUAGACAUUAAUAACUGUGAUAGUUGGGUUUAGGUUUGGGGAAGGUGUAGACAUUAAUAACUGUGAUGGUUGGGUUUGGGGAAGGUGUAGACAUUAAUAACUGUGAUGGUUGGGUUUAGGUUUGGGGAAGGUGUAGACAUUAAUAACUGUGAUGGUUGGGUUUAGGUUUGGGGAAGGUGUAGACAUUAAUAACUGUGAUGGUUGGGUUUGGGUUUGGGGAAGGUGUAGACAUUAAUAACUGUGAUGGUUUGUGGAAGGUGUAGACAUUAAUAACUGUCAUGGUUGGGUUUAGGUUUAGGGAAGGUGUAGACAUUAUUAACUAUGAUGGUUGGGUUUAGGGAAGGUGUAGACAUUAAUAACUGUGAUGGUUGGGGAAGGUGUAGACAUUAAU